RNAcentral lists this ribosomal RNA (468 nucleotides) under uncultured bacterium. RNAcentral describes it as "partial 16S ribosomal RNA". It matches the Rfam family "Bacterial small subunit ribosomal RNA", at positions 28 to 507 of the family's 1533-position model. The record is from RNAcentral.
GACGAACGCUGGCGGCGUGCUUAACACAUGCAAGUCGAACGGAAAGGCCCUGCUUUUGUGGGGUGCUCGAGUGGCGAACGGGUGAGUAACACGUGAGUAACCUGCCCUUGACUUUGGGAUAACUUCAGGAAACUGGGGCUAAUACCGGAUAGGAGCUCCUGCUGCAUGGUGGGGGUUGGAAAGUUUCGGCGGUUGGGGAUGGACUCGCGGCUUAUCAGCUUGUUGGUGGGGUAGUGGCUUACCAAGGCUUUGACGGGUAGCCGGCCUGAGAGGGUGGCCGGCCACAUUGGGACUGAGAUACGGCCCAGACUCCUACGGGAGGCAGCAGUGGGGAAUAGUACACAAUGGGCGGAAGCCUGAUGCAGCAACGCCGCGUGCGGGAUGACGGCCUGCGGGUUGUAAACCGCUUUCGCCUGUGACGAAGCGUGAGUGACGGUAAUGGGUAAAGAAGCACCGGCUAACUACGUG